Molecule: ribosomal RNA, 280 nt
Filed under: uncultured bacterium
Lineage: Bacteria
Description: partial 16S ribosomal RNA
Rfam family: Bacterial small subunit ribosomal RNA
Source: RNAcentral
CCUUUAACGAGCGCAACCCUCAUUGUAUGUAUUUUUCAUGCGAGACUGGCCCUGGGUUAACAGGGAGGAAGGUGGGGAUGACGUCAGAUCAGCAUGGCCCUUACGCCUUGGGCUACACACGUGUUACAAUGGCUAGUACAAUGGGUUGCAAUACCGUAAGGUGGAGCUAAUCCCCAAAACUAGUCCCAGUUCGGAUAGAGGGCUGAAACUCGCCCUCUUGAAGUUGGAAUCGCUAGUAACCGUAAAUCAGCACGUUACGGUGAAUACGUUCCCGGGUCUU